Molecule: long non-coding RNA, 147 nt
Organism: Mauremys reevesii (Reeves's turtle)
Lineage: Eukaryota; Metazoa; Chordata; Testudines; Geoemydidae
Exons: 3
Source: RefSeq, a predicted model, not a curated record
GAGGAGCCAGCACCAGGUUCUGUCCCAGCAGAGGCGCAGGGGAGCAAGCCUUUAGCGAGAUGUUGUAGAAUUGCCGCAAAAGCAACGAGAACUUUUCUUUGCUAGACUACCCAAGACAUCCACUGGACCUUAAAUUAAGAGCUGAGA